RNAcentral lists this ribosomal RNA (262 nucleotides) under uncultured Pseudomonas sp. RNAcentral describes it as "partial 16S ribosomal RNA". It matches the Rfam family "Bacterial small subunit ribosomal RNA", at positions 1121 to 1382 of the family's 1533-position model. The record is from RNAcentral. Lineage: Bacteria; Pseudomonadati; Pseudomonadota; Gammaproteobacteria; Pseudomonadales; Pseudomonadaceae.
GCACGUUAUGGUGGACACUCUAAGGAGACUGCCGGUGACAAACCGGAGGAAGGUGGGGAUGACGUCAAGUCAUCAUGGCCCUUACGGCCUGGGCUACACACGUGCUACAAUGGUCGGUACAAAGGGUUGCCAAGCCGCGAGGUGGAGCUAAUCCCAUAAAACCGAUCGUAGUCCGGAUCGCAGUCUGCAACUCGACUGCGUGAAGUCGGAAUCGCUAGUAAUCGUGAAUCAGAAUGUCACGGUGAAUACGUUCCCGGGCCUU